AGAUUGAACGCUGGCGGCAUGCCUAACACAUGCAAGUCGAACGGGAGUAGCAAUACUCUAGUGGCGGACGGGUGAGGAAUACGUAGGAAUUUGCCCUUAAGUGGGGAUAACCCGGGGAAACCCGGAUUAAUACCGCAUGACCUCGAAAGAGCAAAGUGGGGGAUCGCAAGACCUCACGCUUUUGGAGAAGCCUACGUCGGAUUAGCUAGUUGGUGAGGUAACUGGCUCACCAAGGCGACGAUCCGUAACUGGUCUGAGAGGAUGAUCAGUCACACCGG
RNAcentral lists this ribosomal RNA (278 nucleotides) under uncultured soil bacterium. Its description in RNAcentral is "partial 16S ribosomal RNA". It matches the Rfam family "Bacterial small subunit ribosomal RNA", at positions 26 to 316 of the family's 1533-position model. The record is from RNAcentral.